Molecule: ribosomal RNA, 623 nt
Filed under: Nocardiopsis sp. YIM 92212
Lineage: Bacteria; Bacillati; Actinomycetota; Actinomycetes; Streptosporangiales; Nocardiopsidaceae
Description: bacterial SSU rRNA
Rfam family: Bacterial small subunit ribosomal RNA
Source: RNAcentral
GCUACACAUGCAAGUCGAGCGGUAAGGCCCUUCGGGGUACACGAGCGGCGAACGGGUGAGUAACACGUGAGCAACCUGCCCCUGACUCCGGGAUAAGCGGUGGAAACGCCGUCUAAUACCGGAUAUGACACACCAUCUCCUGGUGGUGUGUGGAAAGUUUUGUCGGUCAGGGAUGGGCUCGCGGCCUAUCAGCUAGUUGGUGGGGUAAAGGCCUACCAAGGCGAUUACGGGUAGCCGGCCUGAGAGGGCGACCGGCCACACUGGGACUGAGACACGGCCCAGACUCCUGCGGGAGGCAGCAGUGGGGAAUAUUGCAGAAUGGGCGAAAGCCUGAUGCAGCGACGCCGCGUGGGGGAUGACGGCCUUCGGGUUGUAAACCUCUUUUACCACCAACGCAGGCACCGGGUUCUCUCGGGGUUGACGGUAGGUUAAGGGAAUAAGGACCGGCUAACUACGUGCCAGCAGCCGCGGUAAUACGUAGGGUCCGAGCGUUGUCCGGAAUUAUUGGGCGUAAAGAGCUCGUAGGCGGCGUGUCGCGUCUGCUGUGAAAGACCGGGGCUUAACCCCGGUUCUGCAGUGGAUACGGGCAUGCUAGAGGUAGGUAGGGGAGACUGGAAUUCCUG